Gopherus flavomarginatus (Mexican gopher tortoise) is the source of this 82-nucleotide non-coding RNA. NCBI's taxonomy places the organism in Eukaryota, Metazoa, Chordata, Testudines, Testudinidae. The record is from the annotation of a RefSeq genome assembly.
GUAGUUAGAGCUGAGUGGUUAAGGCGAUGGACUAGCAAUCCAUUGGGAUCUCCCGGCACAGGUUCAAAUCCUGUCAACUAUG